This 601-nucleotide ribosomal RNA is filed under the name Lactobacillus casei group sp. Its description in RNAcentral is "bacterial SSU rRNA". It matches the Rfam family "Bacterial small subunit ribosomal RNA", at positions 167 to 754 of the family's 1533-position model. Lineage: Bacteria; Bacillati; Bacillota; Bacilli; Lactobacillales; Lactobacillaceae. The record is from RNAcentral.
UACCGCAUAGAUCCAAGAACCGCAUGGUUCUUGGCUGAAAGAUGGCGUAAGCUAUCGCUUUUGGAUGGACCCGCGGCGUAUUAGCUAGUUGGUGAGGUAAUGGCUCACCAAGGCGAUGAUACGUAGCCGAACUGAGAGGUUGAUCGGCCACAUUGGGACUGAGACACGGCCCAAACUCCUACGGGAGGCAGCAGUAGGGAAUCUUCCACAAUGGACGCAAGUCUGAUGGAGCAACGCCGCGUGAGUGAAGAAGGCUUUCGGGUCGUAAAACUCUGUUGUUGGAGAAGAAUGGUCGGCAGAGUAACUGUUGUCGGCGUGACGGUAUCCAACCAGAAAGCCACGGCUAACUACGUGCCAGCAGCCGCGGUAAUACGUAGGUGGCAAGCGUUAUCCGGAUUUAUUGGGCGUAAAGCGAGCGCAGGCGGUUUUUUAAGUCUGAUGUGAAAGCCCUCGGCUUAACCGAGGAAGCGCAUCGGAAACUGGGAAACUUGAGUGCAGAAGAGGACAGUGGAACUCCAUGUGUAGCGGUGAAAUGCGUAGAUAUAUGGAAGAACACCAGUGGCGAAGGCGGCUGUCUGGUCUGUAACUGACGCUGAGGCUC